UGAUUGAAACGUAACGUUCAG
Molecule: non-coding RNA, 21 nt
Organism: Caenorhabditis elegans
Lineage: Eukaryota; Metazoa; Nematoda; Chromadorea; Rhabditida; Rhabditidae
Source: Ensembl